Molecule: small nuclear RNA, 107 nt
Organism: Hyaena hyaena (striped hyena)
Lineage: Eukaryota; Metazoa; Chordata; Mammalia; Carnivora; Hyaenidae
Source: RefSeq, a predicted model, not a curated record
AUGCUUGCUUCAACAGUACAUAUCCUAAAAUAGGAACGAUACAGCGAAGAUUAGCAUCGUUCCUGUGCAAGGAUGGCAUGCAAAUUCAAGAAACAUUCUAUAUUUUA